This 771-nucleotide long non-coding RNA is filed under the name Heterocephalus glaber (naked mole-rat). RNAcentral's name for it is "lncRNA (ENSHGLG00100046414.1)". The record is from RNAcentral. Lineage: Eukaryota; Metazoa; Chordata; Mammalia; Rodentia; Bathyergidae.
CAGUACUGUGCUCAAGGCACUGGGUGAUAUAUAAGACCCAUAGAGUCUUGCUUCAACUAGCUUGCACUAAAGAAUCUGAAUGCAGAGAAACAACAGAGCCUGAAAUAAGUCAUCAGCUGAGCACUGUCACCAAGACCCACGUCACCUAAUGAGCAGUCCAUCUUCCAGCGAGGGUCCAUCUGUCCCGGGCCAGGUCUCCAUAUAUGGCAGCAGCACACUGCCCAAAUGGCUGAAAUGAAAUGGUGUUAUUCCACUGGAAAAAUAUUGACUAUAAAAUCCUGACCUUGGAAAGUGGACCUGAAGAGAGACUCACAUUUAUUUCCAGUGUGUUGGAUGACUGUGACUCUAACUAAAUGGAACAAUGUCUUCAUCCAUUUUUGGUACUCAGGUUCUCUUCCUGCUUCUCUGUUAUGUUUUGAAGCAACUGAGAGACCCUCAACAGAGGCCAAACAGAUGUAGCCACUCAUCUUAGAAUUUUGGCCUCCAAAACUGUUUCAAGUGGGUUGCCACCACAGAUAUGCAGCAUUCUGGGAACAAUGGAUGGGUCAAAGUGAAACCCAUCAGGAAGCACCAUUUCUCACCCAAAAUGGCCACAGGUUAGAAAGGAAAUUCAAUCAAGGCACGUCAGAAUUUUUCACUAGAUAUUUUCCAAUGGUUUCUGGAACGAUAGAAAUCCUCUCUCACCUUAAGAAAUAAGAACUCGAAACUGGGUGAGGCAGCUACCUUUCCUCUCUAGGGGAGAAAGCCAGUUGCAAACAAAAGAAACAAGGC